RNAcentral lists this RNase P RNA (342 nucleotides) under bovine gut metagenome. Its description in RNAcentral is "Bacterial RNase P class A". It matches the Rfam family "Bacterial RNase P class A". Rfam says of the family: Ribonuclease P (RNase P) is a ubiquitous endoribonuclease, found in archaea, bacteria and eukarya as well as chloroplasts and mitochondria. Its best characterised activity is the generation of mature 5'-ends of tRNAs by cleaving the 5'-leader elements of precursor-tRNAs. Cellular RNase Ps are ribonucleoproteins. The record is from RNAcentral. RNAcentral also lists the same sequence under 1 other name.
GGCAGGCUGGAUGGUCGCGUGCCUUUUCGGAAGGCAUGAGGAAAGUCCGGGCUCCACAGGGCAAGGGUGCCGGAUAACGUCCGGCGUAGGUAACUAUAGGGAAAGUGCAACAGAAACACACCGCCGAAACAGUACGGCUGUGGCAAGGGUGAAAUGGCGAGGUAAGAGCUCACCGGCGUCAUGGAGACAUGGCGGCCGUGUAAACCCCACCUGGAGCAAGACCAAACAGGGAGCAAGGCCUGUUGCCCGCAGGCCCCCGGAAGGUAGGUCGCUGGAGGCCGUCAGCAAUGGCGGUCCAAGAUAGAUGAUCAUCCUCGACAGAACCCGGCUUACAGGCUUGUC